Molecule: ribosomal RNA, 324 nt
Filed under: Triticum aestivum (bread wheat)
Lineage: Eukaryota; Viridiplantae; Streptophyta; Magnoliopsida; Poales; Poaceae
Description: partial small subunit ribosomal RNA
Source: RNAcentral
AUGAACUGCGCGAGCCUGCUGCUCCUGCUCUGCGUCCUCCUCCUCGCCGCGCUCGGCCCCUUCGCCGCCGCUGCACGCAGAGAACCAACAAUGGCGGCCACCGGCGACCAAGGAGAUAGUGCUCAGGCCAAGCUGGCCUGGAUGGGAAUGGCCCCUGCAAAGGGUCUAAAGCAGAGGGUGAUCAUGAGGAAGCAGGAGAGUACAGACUCUAACCGUUUCAGGACCAGAAAGUUUUCCUCGACUGCCAAGAAUCCAUUCGACGGCCGGUUGCCCUUCACCGCCGAUUACCACAACGUGCGCAGGCACCCGCCCUCGCACAACUAG